This 805-nucleotide long non-coding RNA is filed under the name Manihot esculenta (cassava). RNAcentral describes it as "long non-coding RNA (MESC_LNC009573)". The record is from RNAcentral. Lineage: Eukaryota; Viridiplantae; Streptophyta; Magnoliopsida; Malpighiales; Euphorbiaceae.
AACAAUCCUGUAAAACUUUGUAGGCUUAACUACUGCUACUCAGAUAUAGCAAUCUGAAAUGGCCCUCAGGGCCUAUACCAGGGACUACUAUCUGCUGUGGAUCAAGGGAAUGAAACCCUUUUAAUCUGUAACACAUUCCACUGGUAUCUCAUCGAAGCCAUACAUUAAGCCUAACUCACACAUUUCUCAUCAAGAAACGUAAAACAGGAUUCAUGUACAGGGGAUUAAUCAUACAUCACACUAUAGUAAUGAUACUAGGAAAAGCACAAGUCUAUCCAGUAUACGACAGUACAUAUCUAUACAUUACAUUACAACUAAUCUUUUAAUUACAUCAUGUCCACUACACUAUUACAGCAUACAUUCACGCACAACUUUCCUCUGUACUCUUGCUGACUUUGACUUCCCAUAGCUAUCUCAGAACCUGCAAAACUGGGGUUAAGGGAGUGGGAUGAGCUCUAGAGCCCAGUGAGGAGGAACAAUAAAAACAGUUCAUUCAUUACAUGCUCUCAUGAAAUGCAUCACAUCACAAACAUAUCAUUUCAAGGAUGAAUUUGUCACCAAUAACCCUUAACUACAUGUUAUAAUAAUGCCAACUAUGCCAAGGAGACUAUGUCAUCACCUGGUCUACACUUAUCUCUCUGAUAUCAUAACAUGACCAACUGUGCAAAGGAGACGAGGUCUCACCUGGUCUACACUUAACUCUGAUUUGACAGCCCAGCUGUCUCACUCAUAGUACCAGGAGCGACCUGGACUAUCCAGGGGCGACCUGGUAUGGCUAUCUCAUGCCAUAACUCUGUAUCUGCUC